RNAcentral lists this ribosomal RNA (474 nucleotides) under Centipeda noxia. RNAcentral describes it as "bacterial SSU rRNA". It matches the Rfam family "Bacterial small subunit ribosomal RNA", at positions 28 to 475 of the family's 1533-position model. Lineage: Bacteria; Bacillati; Bacillota; Negativicutes; Selenomonadales; Selenomonadaceae. The record is from RNAcentral.
GACGAACGCUGGCGGCGUGCUUAACCACAUGCAAGUCGAACCGGAGCGAAUGAAAAGCUUGCUUUUAUAAGCUUAGUGGCAAACGGGUGAGUAACACGUAGGCAACCUGCCCGACAGGAUGGGGACAACAUUCCGAAAGGAAUGCUAAUACCGAAUGAAGUCGAGGGAGGGCAUCCUCCUCCGAUGAAAGAUGGCCUCUAUAUAUAAGCUAUCACCUGUCGAUGGGCCUGCGUCUGAUUAGCUGGUAGGUGAGGUAACGGCUCACCUAGGCGACGAUCAGUAGCCGGUCUGAGAGGAUGAACGGCCACAUUGGGACUGAGACACGGCCCAGACUCCUACGGGAGGCAGCAGUGGGGAAUCUUCCGCAAUGGGCGCAAGCCUGACGGAGCAACGCCGCGUGAGUGAAGAAGGUCUUCGGAUCGUAAAGCUCUGUUGAUGGGGACGAACGUGCCUAAUGCGAAUAGUAUUAGGUAA